GAGAAAGGCCUCUGAGGCAAUAAGUACUGCUAAUCCUUAUGGACCGAGGUUAAAGUCCCCGGCUUCCUCG
This 70-nucleotide transfer RNA is filed under the name Lepidocephalichthys sp. CBM-ZF-14149. RNAcentral's name for it is "tRNA-Ser". Lineage: Eukaryota; Metazoa; Chordata; Actinopteri; Cypriniformes; Cobitidae. The record is from RNAcentral.